Molecule: ribosomal RNA, 539 nt
Filed under: uncultured bacterium
Lineage: Bacteria
Description: bacterial SSU rRNA
Rfam family: Bacterial small subunit ribosomal RNA
Source: RNAcentral
GAGGAAUAUUGGUCAAUGGGCGAGAGCCUGAACCAGCCAAGUAGCGUGCAGGAAGACGGCCCUAUGGGUUGUAAACUGCUUUUGUAUGGGGAUAAAGUCAAUCACGUGUGAUUGUUUGCAGGUACCAUACGAAUAAGGACCGGCUAAUUCCGUGCCAGCAGCCGCGGUAAUACGGAAGGUCCAGGCAUUAUCCGGAUUUAUUGGGUUUAAAGGGAGCGUAGGCUGGAGAUUAAGUGUGUUGUGAAAUGUAGACGCUCAACGUCUGAAUUGCAGCGCAUACUGGUUUCCUUGAGUACGCACAACGUUGGCGGAAUUCGUCGUGUAGCGGUGAAAUGCUUAGAUAUGACGAAGAACUCCGAUUGCGAAGGCAGCUGACGGGAGCGCAACUGACGCUUAAGCUCGAAGGUGCGGGUAUCAAACAGGAUUAGAUACCCUGGUAGUCCGCACAGUAAACGAUGGAUGCCCGCUGUUGGUACCUGGUAUCAGCGGCUAAGCGAAAGCAUUAAGCAUCCCACCUGGGGAGUACGCCGGCAACGGUG